Molecule: long non-coding RNA, 227 nt
Filed under: Ananas comosus (pineapple)
Lineage: Eukaryota; Viridiplantae; Streptophyta; Magnoliopsida; Poales; Bromeliaceae
Description: long non-coding RNA (ACOM_LNC027922)
Source: RNAcentral
CUUCAACGAGGUUUCAUAACAUACAAUUCCAACAAUUCUCAAGAGAAACAUUUACUAAUGCUAUAUGCAAAAGAGCAUAACAAUAUCUACAAGAACCACAAUGCAUGUCAUGCAUAUGCUUUUCUACCAUGGUCUCCACUACAUGGAGUAGAAGUAUUAUCAUGCAAGCAAUUCCUUCUACUAGUAUUAUAUGCCAUUAUCCCUAUUAGGGUUCACCCCAAGGGCUU